Molecule: non-coding RNA, 277 nt
Organism: Pediococcus pentosaceus ATCC 25745
Lineage: Bacteria; Bacillati; Bacillota; Bacilli; Lactobacillales; Lactobacillaceae
Source: Rfam
AUGAAAGCAAUGAGAAGAUGAGUAGUCUCAGAACGGUAUUGAGAGAGUUCACAUUUGAUGAGAGUGAAUUGCCGGGAAUUGAUGAAUAUGGUCUUUGAGCUGGGGGUUAUUGAGCCGUUAGCAAAAUAACCUGGUGAACGCACCUUAUAGCGUAAUAGUUCAAUGAAUCCUCAUUGUUUAUAAAACAAUGGGAUUGUCAGUUUUUUUGGACUUGAUAAGUCACUUAGCGCAAGUUAUGUGAAAAUUAAGGUGGUAACACGGCAAUAUCGUCCUUAUA